CCUACAGGAGGCAGCAGUGGGGAAUAUUGCACAAUGGGCGAAAGCCUGAUGCAGCAACGCCGCGUGAAGGAAGAAGGGUUUCGGCUCGUAAACUUCUAUCAACAGGGACGAAAGAAAUGACGGUACCUGAAUAAGAAGCCCCGGCUAACUACGUGCCAGCAGCCGCGGUAAUACGGAGGGGGCAAGCGUUAUCCGGAAUUACUGGGUGUAAAGGGUGAGUAGGCGGCAUGGUAAGCCAGAUGUGAAAGCCUUGGGCUUAACCCGAGGAUUGCAUUUGGAACUAUCAAGCUAGAGUACAGGAGGGGAAAGCGGAAUUCCUAGUGUAGCGGUGAAAUGCGUAGAUAUUAGGAAGAACACCAGUGGCGAAGGCGGCUUUCUGGACUGAAACUGACGCUGAGGCACGAAAGCGUGGGGAGCGAACAGGAUUAGAUACCCUGGUAGUC
Molecule: ribosomal RNA, 443 nt
Filed under: uncultured bacterium
Lineage: Bacteria
Description: partial 16S ribosomal RNA
Rfam family: Bacterial small subunit ribosomal RNA
Source: RNAcentral